This 429-nucleotide ribosomal RNA is filed under the name Bacillota bacterium. RNAcentral's name for it is "Firmicutes bacterium partial 16S ribosomal RNA". It matches the Rfam family "Bacterial small subunit ribosomal RNA", at positions 355 to 776 of the family's 1533-position model. Lineage: Bacteria; Bacillati; Bacillota. The record is from RNAcentral.
UGGGGAAUUUUGGACAAUGGGCGAAAGCCUGAUCCAGCAAUGCCGCAUGUGUGAAGAAGGCCUUCGGGUUGUAAAGCACUUUUGUCCGGAAAGAAAUGGCUCUGGUUAAUACCUGGGGUCGAUGACGGUACCGGAAGAAUAAGGACCGGCUAACUACGUGCCAGCAGCCGCGGUAAUACGUAGGGUCCAAGCGUUAAUCGGAAUUACUGGGCGUAAAGCGUGCGCAGGCGGUUGUGCAAGACCGAUGUGAAAUCCCCGAGCUUAACUUGGGAAUUGCAUUGGUGACUGCACGGCUAGAGUGUGUCAGAGGGGGGUAGAAUUCCACGUGUAGCAGUGAAAUGCGUAGAGAUGUGGAGGAAUACCGAUGGCGAAGGCAGCCCCCUGGGAUAACACUGACGCUCAUGCACGAAAGCGUGGGGAGCAAACAGG